AGAUUGCUAAGAACUUGAAAAAAUACAGCAAGAAGUAUGAAGCAGAGGAUCAAGAUGUUUCAUUGCUGUUGAGUGAGCAAGAUCGUGAGAAGCGAAAGAAGCUGAAAGAAGAAUGGGAAGCAUGGAUUAAUGAGUGGAAGCAGUUGCAUGAAGAGGAGAAAAUGGAAAGGGAAAGGUUGCGUGAUGGGGAAGCCAGUGAUGAAGAGGAGGAAUACCAGGCAAAGGAAGUUGAAGUAGAGGAAAUACUAAAAGUUGAAGAGGAGGUUAUUCCUUUUGAAGAGAGCCA
This 286-nucleotide long non-coding RNA is filed under the name Solanum tuberosum (potato). RNAcentral's name for it is "long non-coding RNA (STUB_LNC002123)". Lineage: Eukaryota; Viridiplantae; Streptophyta; Magnoliopsida; Solanales; Solanaceae. The record is from RNAcentral.